RNAcentral lists this ribosomal RNA (253 nucleotides) under uncultured bacterium. RNAcentral describes it as "partial 16S ribosomal RNA". It matches the Rfam family "Bacterial small subunit ribosomal RNA", at positions 524 to 776 of the family's 1533-position model. The record is from RNAcentral.
UACGGGGGGGGCAAGCGUUGUUCGGAAUUACUGGGCGUAAAGGGCUCGUAGGUGGCCAACUAAGUCAUACGUGAAAUCCCUCGGCUUAACCGGGGAACUGCGUCUGAUACUGGAUGGCUUGAGGUUGGGAGAGGGAUGCGGAAUUCCAGGUGUAGCGGUGAAAUGCGUAGAUAUCUGGAGGAACACCGGUGGCGAAGGCGGCAUCCUGGACCGAUUCUGACACUGAGGAGCGAAAGCGAGGGGAGCAAACGGG